UACGUAGGUGGCAAGCGUUGUCCGGAUUUAUUGGGUUUAAAGGGUGCGUAGGCGGCCCUGUAAGUCAGUGCUGAAAUAUCCCGGCUUAACCGGGAGGGUGGCAUUGAUACUGCGGGGCUAGAGUACAGAUGAGGUAGGCGGAAUUGACGGUGUAGCGGUGAAAUGCGCAGAUAUCAGGAGGAACACCAAUGGCGAAGGCAGCUCGCUGGGACGUGACUGACGCUGAGACGCGAAAGCGUGGGGAGCAAACAGG
RNAcentral lists this ribosomal RNA (253 nucleotides) under uncultured bacterium. RNAcentral's name for it is "partial 16S ribosomal RNA". It matches the Rfam family "Bacterial small subunit ribosomal RNA", at positions 524 to 776 of the family's 1533-position model. The record is from RNAcentral.